AGAGUUUGAUCCUGGCUCAGGAUGAACGCUAGCGGGAGGCCUAAUACAUGCAAGUCGAACGGCAGCAGGCGUAGCAAUACGUGCUGGCGAGUGGCGCACGGGUGCGUAACACGUACACAACCUGCCUUAUACUGGGGCAUAGCCUCGAGAAAUUGAGAUUAAUUCCCCAUAACAUUGCGAAACGGCAUCGUUUUGCAACU
This 200-nucleotide ribosomal RNA is filed under the name uncultured bacterium. RNAcentral's name for it is "partial 16S ribosomal RNA". It matches the Rfam family "Bacterial small subunit ribosomal RNA", at positions 8 to 203 of the family's 1533-position model. The record is from RNAcentral.